Molecule: ribosomal RNA, 492 nt
Filed under: uncultured bacterium
Lineage: Bacteria
Description: partial 16S ribosomal RNA
Rfam family: Bacterial small subunit ribosomal RNA
Source: RNAcentral
GGUGAACGCUGGCGGUAGGCCUAACACAUGCAAGUCGAACGGCAGCACAGUAAGAGCUUGCUCUUACGGGUGGCGAGUGGCGGACGGGUGAGGAAUACAUCGGAAUCUACUUUUUCGUGGGGGAUAACGUAGGGAAACUUACGCUAAUACCGCAUACGACCUACGGGUGAAAGCCGGGGAUCUUCGGACCUUGCGCGAUUGAAUGAGCCGAUGUCGGAUUAGCUAGUUGGCGGGGUAAAGGCCCACCAAGGCGACGAUCCGUAGCUGGUCUGAGAGGAUGAUCAGCCACACUGGAACUGAGACACGGUCCAGACUCCUACGGGAGGCAGCAGUGGGGAAUAUUGGACAAUGGGCGCAAGCCUGAUCCAGCCAUACCGCGUGGGUGAAGAAGGCCUUCGGGUUGUAAAGCCCUUUUGUUGGGAAAGAAAAGCAGCAGGUUAAUACCCCGCUGUUCUGACGGUACCCAAAGAAUAAGCACCGGCUAACUUCGUG